UUGACUUCUGCGUUUAUGACGUUGGACUUAAAAAGCAGUAAUGUUAUUACUUUGGAUCAUGUAUUUGACUGGAAGAACAAGAUAUCUGUCUGUUUAUGAAGAAAGACCACAAUAACAGUUCACUCUUUCCAACUUCAUGACAUGGUCUGAGCGUCACAAUGGUCAUAAAGGUAAUACUUCGAAAAAACUAUAUUAACUCCAACAUGAAACUUUUUUUUAUUAGUAUUAUUCUGGAAAAUUAUUGUAUUUCUGAACAUGUUCUUCUCUGUUUCUUUCUUUGCAUGACUCUUUCCAUCUACAUGGCACGGUUUGAGUCACAAUGGCAUGGUAAGGUGAUCGUCUGACAGCAAUAUAAGGUACAUCCAAUCUGAAUGUUUCGUAUAUGAAUACAUUAAAAGCUGUAUUAAGUUGUUUUAAAGUGCAAAUUCACUGCAUUUCUAAACAUCUGUUUCUUUUUGUGCAUAACUCUUUCCCUCUGCAUGUCAUGGUUUGAGCAUCAAAAUGGCAAACUUAUGACAGCAAUAAAAGAUAAGUCAAAUCUCAAAGUUUUAUAUGAAACAUUAAUAACCAUUUUUUUUUUCUGUUUCUUCUGUCAACAUGAGUCGUCACCAUGACUUUUAUUCUGAAUAUCACUAUUUUUGAACACAUUCUUCUGUUUCUUUCUUUGCAUGAUUGUUACAUCUACAUGACAGCGUUUGAGUAUCACGAAGGCAAAAUUAUCACAGCAAUAAAGUGUCACAAUGACGGAUAUGGGAAGAUCACAUGACAGCAAUAAAGGUACAUAGCGAUGUCUAUCAAACUUGACCAAUGACCAAAAUUACAACAGAAGGGUUAAUUAACUAUGCUAUCCCUGGAUGAGGCCGUGACGUUUCUGCUGAGCUUGUGGACCGUGGCAGAGCAGAAGAAUCUGUGGGAUACAGUGAUGUGUUUUGGCUAAUUGGCCAUAGAAAAGAGGACGUCAGAACAGCGUGGAGACAGUGAAUAAUAGAUUAAUGGGCACGGCCCUAAUUGAUAAAGCAUGGCCUUCUGAAGCUAGAGGUUGUGUGGGUAUGGAGGAUGAAUCAGUGAAGAGCGUGCUUCAUGAACAGGAAAUACCAGGUUUACAUCCCACCAUGAGCUCUUCUGAUGGAGGGAUGCAUUUGUGCCUUUGAGCAAAGCAUUUUAAUGUCAUCUGCUUGAGGUCUUGAUACCACAGCUUUCUAGUUACCGUGUAAUCCAGCUACAGUCUGCCAAUGGAGGAUAUUUUACACUGCUUGCAAAAGACUGCUUCCUCUUACCUUCUUAUGUAAGCUUGUUUAAUCACGUUUGCAUCAACACUCUCAUGGCAAUUCACAACUUCUAAGGCUUUGACAAAUAAGUGAUGAACUUAUGUCAGUUUGUAUUAUUUCAUUUGUGCAUGCCUUUUUUGUAUUAUUUCAUUUGUGCAUUUUUGUAUGAUUUGCUUAUCCCCAUUUAAGACCUUCAUGCUUUCUUUUUGGUCUAAAAAUCAUAUGUUUUUCAUAACAUGUCAUGAACAUGUCAAAUUUAGGCUGGAUUAAGAAAUACCAAGAGAGAGAAUCUCUAAAUUGUGAUAUGAUUGGUUUGUUGUGUAUUAACCGUAAUUGGCAAUCCAUCAGUUAAGCUAUAAACAUAUACUGAUUUAUUAUAAUCUUCAACAAGAAAGCCAAAUUAAUCCUGUAAUCAGGCAUCACAACUGCCAAAGUGACUGUGAUGUGUAUAUGCUGUUAAUAUUACGUUAUCAAAAUUGAAUAUUUUUUUCUGGUAUUCAGUGAUAGUAAUAUUGGUUCUUUGCUGAAAGGCAUUGAAGCAGCAGUCUUUGACAUGGUUAUACUUAAUCUGAGAUUCAUUGUAAUGUGAAUCAAUUGAUGGAUGGUAAGUGUGUCACAGUAAGUGAUCCAAUACAGCUUAUUUUGCCCUAUGAUUAAAGUCAUUUGUUUUUGAUGAUAAUAUCAUGGUCGCAAAAUCACACAGUCUUCAUCUAGUUUCAGUAGCUAAAAACAAGAUGCUUUGCAACCAUAUUAUAUGCUGAUGACACAAUUUUAAAUGAGCAAACAAAGAGGAACCUAUGCCAAGGGAAUAUGUCUGAUGAGAAACAGCUACCAAUAAUGACAGACAAAUUGAACAGUCCAAACAAUAUGGUAAUGUGCAUACUAUAUAGGGAAUUUAAAACACAAAACAAAUACAUUAACAUGUUACAUAAUGAAUAGCACAACAUUCAUCAGCUCAUUCCACAGAUCUGUUGCAUUCAGCAGAGGAACGUCUAACUAUGCAAUGAUAUAAACACAAAUGAACAAAAUAUCAUUUUCUUACUAACAUGGAAUGCAAAAAGUGAUGUACUGCACUAUAGAGCAGUAGAUUUUCAGCAAAUGAAGUCUGUGUUGUGUUUGUCACACACUGCUAUUCUAUGAUUUGUAACAUAACGCAUGAGUGGUAUGAAAUAUGACUUUGUCCUUGACUGUUCAUAUAAACUGAUACUGCAUAUUUACUGUAGUAUAAAACAACUGGGAUGCAUCAUUGUUUGUUGCUUCAGUUGUAUAUGUGCACACCAUUCCAGACCAAAGUUAUGUGAGUGGUAUGGAGUGGAAUUGUUUUAUGAAAAUAUAAUAAUAAAGUUUUG
This is a long non-coding RNA of Cyprinus carpio carpio, 2617 nucleotides long. Lineage: Eukaryota; Metazoa; Chordata; Actinopteri; Cypriniformes; Cyprinidae. The record is from Ensembl.